RNAcentral lists this ribosomal RNA (253 nucleotides) under uncultured bacterium. RNAcentral describes it as "partial 16S ribosomal RNA". It matches the Rfam family "Bacterial small subunit ribosomal RNA", at positions 524 to 776 of the family's 1533-position model. The record is from RNAcentral.
UACGAAGGGGGCUAGCGUUGCUCGGAAUUACUGGGCGUAAAGCGCACGUAGGCGGAUCUUUAAGUCCGGGGUGAAAUCCUGGAGCUCAACUCCAGAACUGCCUUUGAUACUGGGUAUCUUGAGUAUGGAAGAGGUAAGUGGAAUUGCGAGUGUAGAGGUGAAAUUCGUAGAUAUUCGCAGGAACACCAGUGGCGAAGGCGGCUUACUGGUCCAUUACUGACGCUGAGGUGCGAAAGCGUGGGGAGCAAACAGG